RNAcentral lists this transfer RNA (86 nucleotides) under Cryomorphaceae bacterium. RNAcentral describes it as "tRNA-Leu". It matches the Rfam family "tRNA". From Rfam's summary of the family: Transfer RNA (tRNA) molecules are approximately 80 nucleotides in length. The record is from RNAcentral. Lineage: Bacteria; Pseudomonadati; Bacteroidota; Flavobacteriia; Flavobacteriales; Cryomorphaceae.
ACCGCUGUGGUGGAAUUGGUAGACACGACAGACUUAAAAUCUGUUUCGCCGAAUGGUGAGUGAGGGUUCGAGUCCCUCCAGCGGUA